GCGUUGGUGGUUUAGUGGUAAAAUUCAUCGUUGCCAUUUACGGUUGCAGUUCCUCAAGGAGCACCCCCCCUCAGGGGCCUCCCAGGACCUCAACACCAUGUUUCGAUGAGCCCCGGGUUCGAUUCCCGGCCGACGCA
This 137-nucleotide transfer RNA is filed under the name Neofusicoccum parvum UCRNP2. It matches the Rfam family "tRNA". From Rfam's summary of the family: Transfer RNA (tRNA) molecules are approximately 80 nucleotides in length. Their secondary structure includes four short double-helical elements and three loops (D, anti-codon, and T loops). Lineage: Eukaryota; Fungi; Ascomycota; Dothideomycetes; Botryosphaeriales; Botryosphaeriaceae. The record is from Rfam by way of RNAcentral.